This 236-nucleotide ribosomal RNA is filed under the name uncultured bacterium. RNAcentral's name for it is "partial 16S ribosomal RNA". It matches the Rfam family "Bacterial small subunit ribosomal RNA", at positions 118 to 347 of the family's 1533-position model. The record is from RNAcentral.
UAAGUAACCUGCCCUUCACUCUGGGAUAACGUCGGGGAAACCGGUGCUAAUACUGGAUAUGACCUGCUCGGGCAUCCGAUGUGGGUGGAAAGAUUUUAUUGGUGGAGGAUGGACUCGCGGCCUAUCAGCUUGUUGGUGAGGUAAUGGCCUACCAAGGCGGCGACGGGUAGCCGGCCUGAGAGGGCGACCGGCCACACUGGGACUGAGACACCGGCCCAGACCUCCGUACGGGAGCA